UUUUUUUUUUUUUCUUUUUAGGGCCAUACCUGUGGCAUAUGAAGUUCCCAGGUGCUAGGAGUCAAAACAAAGCUGCAGCUGCCAGCCUAUGCCACAGCCAUGGCAAUACGGGAUCCGAGCCGCAUCUGCAACCUACACCUCAGCUCAUGGCAACUCCAGAUCCUUAACCCACUGAGCAAGGCCAUGGGUCAAACCUGCAUCCUCAUGGAUACGAGUUGGGUUCAUAACCCACUGAGCCACAAGAGGAACUCCUCCUUCAGAUCCCUUUUACCUGCAAUCUCUCUGUGCCCUGUGCCCUGCCGGCGCCUCGAGUUUCUGUAAGCUUUGCCCAUAACUGUGAAUUUUUUAGGGGAUGCCAAAGGCUAUGGGGGCUGCUUUUCCACAUGGAACAAAAGCAACAAGAAGUUCCAAGUGUUUAUGCCCCUCCCAACAGGCUCUCAGACAGUGAGCAACCAGAAGGGGAAUAUAAAAAUCUAAUUCUUUUGCCACAAGCUGGGGGAAGCUCUGAGACAUGAUUUAUACUCCAGGGCUCCCCACAGGAUCAGGCUGAGGCUGGGAUUUGCCUGAGCUCACACCUUGCUUUGUUUCCUUCCUGACCCUCCCCUGGCUCCCCAUCUCCUUACAUCAUUCUUCUGGGAGUACAUGCUCAAUAAAUGCCUUGCCAUACAACUCCAUCUCAGCUUCUGCUUCUAGAGAAUCUGACUUAGGACACCCACGGAUUCACCUAAGUUCCUUAAGAGAUGAGAGCCACUGUGCUGCUGGUGGCAGCUGCCUCCCCCCCAUGGAUGCAAAUGCUCUGCCCCGGCUGGUGCAAAUGCCUUUCUGCAUGCAGAGCCAUAGCCAGGCAAUAUUUGAGAGGAGGAAGACACCACAGAUGAAGCAGGGAAAGAAAAGGACCACACGACGCUCAGAGGUUGAAAGACGAUGCCAAAAUACUGGAAAAGGGGUUCAAGCUCAACUCACCUCCAGAUUUGUUAUGGGAUGUUCAAUGGGACUCCAUUUAAUCAAUUCAAGCUAGUCUGCCCCCCAAGAUGAAGUUUGGGCUGAGUUUUUUAUUCUUUCAAAGAAAACAUACCUGCGUAGCUCUUGUUUCUAGCCUGCUUGUUUGAAUUAAAGGCUUGCAGCAUUUUAGUUUAUGAUAUCUCUGGGGAGGAGUGACUAUGUCAGUAUAAUUAACUCAUCUGAUGAGAGAGGUCUUGUUUAUUUCCCCUACAAAAUACAGGUGGUGGUGAAGCUCCAAUGCAGUAUGGUGACAUGAAACACAUUUAGAAUAAAUCACACCAAAUAAAUAGGGAGGCAAAAGUGAUUUCAAGGUACAUUUUUUAUUGUUUUAAAUUAAGUUUUGAAAGUGAACAGCUGCAUACCAAAAAGCCACAAAGCUGUUACCCACCUCCAAUCUGCUCUUCUGAGAAAGGGUUAAUGGCACGCUCAAGUUCAGUUCACAAGGACUAACAGACUAACAGUGUUGUUUUCAAAUAAUUAUACAAAUAAUCUCUGGGUUUCUGAGAACCCUCUUUGGGCAUGAGGAAUGGCAGUCAAACCAGUUUGCAUGACCAGUUAAAAUAACCACACACAAUACAUUUUACCAAAUCCAUAAUGACAUUCAUUUAAUAAACAUGUAAGAGCAACACCAUGUGCUGGGCAAUAAGUAAAUAAAAACAAGACAAGAGGCUUUGCUUCUGGGAGCUCACAGUCUAAAGAAGUAUGGUCGAUAAAGAGGUAUUUCAGGGAUUAAAAUGGUAAAACAUAUUCUUCCUUCCUCCAAACACUUAAUGGAAUUCCAGAAAUUGAUUUGGUUUUGUUUGGGUUUCUGCUAUUAAAUGAAUCAUAAUACCAGAAAGCAAGUAUAAAAGACAAUGUCCUUAAACCAGAAAUGCAGAAGAAUCCCUGCUGUGCUGGGGAUGAGCAGAUUCAAUUGGAGAUGAUAGACCGGAGGAAACCUUGAGAAGGAAGAAGUGGUAAAAGGAUGAGGAAGAGAAAUGGAAAAUGAAAAAGUCCACAUGGGGAGAGCUUGAAGGGUUGAAAGGAAUAGCAAGGGCUGGGAAGAGGAGAAAGGGUGGCAACAGUGAGAAGACAGAGGGAGGCUGGACAGGACGGAUGAGACAACUUGUGUAAGCAGUGCUAGAGCCCCAGCAUCAAGGUCUACAAUUAAAGGAGCAAAAGGGCCCCAAACACACUGAAUAACAGCCCCCAAAGCUAUUUGAUCCUUGUUCCUGGACCCUGUACACGUUAUCUCAUACAGAAAAAAGUCCUUGUAAAUAUAGUUAAAAUCAAUGUCUUGAGAUGGGGAGAUUAUCUAGGAUUAUCCUGUUGUUUCCUAAAUGCAUCACAAGUGUCCUUAUAAGAGAAAGGCAGAGGGAGAUCUGACCCAUCACCAGAAGAGAAGACAAUGUGACCACAGGGGCAGAGAUUGCAGAAUGUAGAUCCAGAAUUUCUAUUGUUCCUCAUGAAGAAAUUCUAGAUGAAGAGAAAGGAAAUAAUAAUAUAAAAAUCUCCUAGAGGAAAAGAAAGAAAAAUAUACUUAACUGAAUGGGCCUUUGAACAUCAAGCAAGAUAAAAAUAAGUAAUAAUAAAAGACCCAUUCCUAUAUGCAUUAUGGUGAAACUUCAGAUAAAAAGACAGAAACUACUAUUCUGAAAAUACAUCAUACAGCUAAAAUAGUUCUACCUAAAAAGACUAAAAUUCUGAUUGUCAUUACUUUCCAUUGAUAACACUGUAGACUGGAAGAAAGUAGAAAGGGAAAGGGAAAAUAUUACAAACUUAGAAACUUGUAGCUAAUUCAAACUAGCACUCAAAUGUUUUCUGACAUAUAAAUCAGAAACUUUACCAUCCACAGAAUCUCUUUGAGUGUGUUGAAAUAUACUAUAGGAAAAUUACCAAAGAAUCUAUGCUAGAGGAAGAUGACAUACAAGGAGAGGGGAAGAAGUAAUGAUAAAACAUAGGUCAAUUUUAACAAUUAAUGAGUUAUCUAUAUAUCUUUAAUAAGAAUCUGGAACUGAAAUCCAAAAAAACCUACAUGGCAGGUUAAAAGGUAGGGCAGGUUAAAAGGUAGGGCUGGAGAUCAGGGUAAAUCAUGCUAAAGUUUUCCUCUUGUUCAUAGGGAAGAUAUAGUCAUCAGUUAACUCAAGAUGUGACUAGAAAAAAUAUAUCUUCAUAUGUAUGAGUUAAGAUUUAAAGAUAAAUAUCAGAAAAAUGUAGACAAGAUAUAUAACUGUGAAACUGCUCUAGAAAAAAAAUCAAAAUCAAAUAACUCCAAUCCACUAAUGAAAGUCAAAGUUUGAAAGAAAAAAAAUGUGAGUAAAAGGUAUAAUACACUGAUAUAUAAAUAUUCAAUUAAUAAAUGCAUGAGUUAACGCCAUUUAUGAAAAAUGCAGAUGUUUUAAAAUAAUAACCAUUAUAAUAGUACAUAGUAAUAGUAUGGGUGAAGAAAAAUAGGACAACAGAGGCUAAAAGAAAGACAAACACAGGACUAAAAGAAGUAUUUUUAAGAUGGCAGAGACUUUGGCCAAGGCAAAAUGCUGAUGAAAGGGAAUUGAUGGGGGAAAUGAAAUGAGAAAAGAAGUAACACAUACACUGAGGUCUCUGAAAGCUAGAAGAGGUUGGAUCCAACGUCAGUCAGAUGGAGGGAUUAGAAGGAAGAAGGCUCCAGACAGCUCAGAUUUACAAACUAUGACUGAAGUCAAUAACCAAGAUUCAUCUAGUAUCACCAUUCUGGGAGGGUUCUUUAUAAUAAUACAUUUUCUCAUCAAAACAUAAUGAAUAUUUAUUAUUGAGAAGUUUAAAAAGGCAAAUAUUACAAAGGGAAAUGAAAGUAUUUCCUAAAACACCACCAUCCAUUUUUCAUACACUGUUAUUUUAGGUAAAAAUCAAUCUAAUUCAAUCUUUUCAUUUUUUUUAAUGAGCAGAAUUGCUAAAUACAACCCAUCUUUUUAUUUCUUUAUGUUAUCAUCUUUCCAUUGAAUAAUUAAGAACACAGCUGUUCUGAUGGAACAAGAGCCGUAAUUUAAUUUUAUUAAAUCUUAACUGUGCUUGGUUUUCCAAGAGUAUUAAAAAGUACAAUUCCCGCUCAGCCCACAACAUCUCUUCUAAUACCACAGACGUUUUAGGCUUCUGCUGACAUAUGUCUCUCUCUGGAAUCAAGACCAAAAUUGGACCAAAGAGGUGUAAGUUCAGAGGCAAAUUUUCACACUCUGGCAAGAAUACUUGUCUCAAGGAAAAAUUAAUCUCAAAUGAACAUCAAUGAUAGAUGGAGCUCAAAAAUGUGAACUCUGGAGCCAAACCCUUUGGCUUUAAAUCGAAGCUCUACCCAUUUGAGUCCUCUUUUAGUGUGUGAAAGUUGAUAUUUAUGCUAGCAAAGAUCUGUUGAGUUCCUACUCUAUGCCAGGCCUAUAUCAAGUGUUUUUAUGGGCUGGGUCUUUGUUUAUUCCCUCAAGAAAUGUUUCUUUCAAAGAUGACACAAGCAGAUGGGAAGACAUACCAUACUCUUGGAUUGGCAGAAUCAGUAUUGUCAAAAUGACUAUACUGCCCAAGACAGUCUACACAUUCAAUGCAAUCUCUAACAAACUACCAAGGAUAUUUUUCACAGAACUAGAACAAAAUAUUUUAGUUUAUUUGGAAGCACAAAAGACCCUGAAUAGCCAAAGCCAUCCUGAGAAAGAAAAAUGGAGCUGGAGGAAUCAGGCGCCCGUACUUCAGACUAUACUACAA
This 4707-nucleotide long non-coding RNA is filed under the name Sus scrofa (pig). Its description in RNAcentral is "lncRNA (ENSSSCG00000046693.2)". Lineage: Eukaryota; Metazoa; Chordata; Mammalia; Artiodactyla; Suidae. The record is from RNAcentral.